This 253-nucleotide ribosomal RNA is filed under the name uncultured bacterium. RNAcentral's name for it is "partial 16S ribosomal RNA". It matches the Rfam family "Bacterial small subunit ribosomal RNA", at positions 524 to 776 of the family's 1533-position model. The record is from RNAcentral.
UGCGUAGGGUGCGAGCGUUGUCCGGAAUUAUUGGGCGUAAAGGGCUCGUAGGCGGUUUGUCGCGUCGGGAGUGAAAACCAGGUGCUUAACACCUGGCUUGCUUUCGAUACGGGCAGACUAGAGGUAUUCAGGGGAGAACGGAAUUCCUGGUGUAGCGGUGAAAUGCGCAGAUAUCAGGAGGAACACCGGUGGCGAAGGCGGUUCUCUGGGAAUGACCUGACGCUGAGGAGCGAAAGUGUGGGGAGCGAACAGG